AUGGAUUCAUGUGCGCUACCGCACGGCCCUGGAUCCCACACGCCGCCGCUGCGCGAAAGGAUCCCCACACGCCGCCGCCUACCCAAAGCGCCUCCACUGGCCGACAGCUUGGUGCUCCACCAGUCCCAAUGCUGCAUCCAAGGUGGGCUGCUGGAUCUCGUCCCCUCCUCUGCGUGGAGCCCUGCUGGAGGCCCUCCUCCUCGACAGGAUGCCGUCCACCUAGGGCCAGUGGGAGAAAGCCGCCGUGGCUCACCGAUGCUCCGGUUGUAG
RNAcentral lists this ribosomal RNA (270 nucleotides) under Triticum aestivum (bread wheat). RNAcentral describes it as "partial small subunit ribosomal RNA". Lineage: Eukaryota; Viridiplantae; Streptophyta; Magnoliopsida; Poales; Poaceae. The record is from RNAcentral.